AUUGAACGCUGGCGGCAGGCUUAACACAUGCAAGUCGAACGAGUGGCGGACGGGUGAGUAAUGUCUGGGAACCUGCCCGGUGGCGGGGGAUAACUACUGGAAACGGUAGCUAAUACCGCAUACCAUCAGAUGUGCCCAGAUGGGAUUAGCUAGUGGGUGGGGUAAUGGCUCCCCUAGGCGACGAUCCCUAGCUGGUCUGAGAGGAGGACCAGCCACACUGGGACUGAGACACGGCCCAGACUCCUACGGGAGGAAGCAGGGGGGAAUAUUGCACAAUGGGCGCAAGCCUGAUGCAGCCAUCCCGCGUGUAUGAAGAAGGCCUUCGGGUUGUAAAGUACUUUCAGCGGGGAGGCGGUACCCGCAGAAGAAGCACCGGCUAACUACGUGCCAGCAGCCGCGGUAAUAC
RNAcentral lists this ribosomal RNA (406 nucleotides) under uncultured bacterium. RNAcentral describes it as "partial 16S ribosomal RNA". It matches the Rfam family "Bacterial small subunit ribosomal RNA", at positions 29 to 526 of the family's 1533-position model. The record is from RNAcentral.